Micropterus dolomieu (smallmouth bass) is the source of this 282-nucleotide long non-coding RNA. RefSeq lists it as uncharacterized. The transcript is spliced from 2 exons. NCBI's taxonomy places the organism in Eukaryota, Metazoa, Chordata, Actinopteri, Centrarchiformes, Centrarchidae. The record is from RefSeq and is a predicted model, not a curated record.
GCUCGAUCGUCGUUGCUCCAUACUCGGUGCCACCUCUACGUUCAGGUUCACUCACCCUCGUCAUCCGUUCUGGGCUCAUCCUCCGGACCUCUCCUCUUCGGGCUUCCCCCACGGCGUCCUCCCAGUUCUCCCCUGCAUCCUCCCUUCCUUGGCCCCAGUGUUCCCCGGCUCCCCGGUCCCAGUCCAGUUGGUUUCCCUGUGCUAGUGUUUCCCCGGCAUCCUCCUCUCCCUCCACUCCAGUCCCUCAACCCCCUUUUUCCCUAAAUAAACCUCCGUCGCUCA